UACGAAGGGGGCUAGCGUUGCUCGGAAUCACUGGGCGUAAAGGGUGCGUAGGCGGGUCUUUAAGUCAGGGGUGAAAUCCUGGAGCUCAACUCCAGAACUGCCCUUUGAUACUGAAGAUCUUGAGUUCGGGGAGAGGUGAGUGGAACUGCGAGUGUAGAGGUGAAAUUCGUAGAUAUUCGCAAGAACACCAGUGGCGAAGGCGGCUCACUGGCCCGAUACUGACGCUGAGGCACGAAAGCGUGGGAG
RNAcentral lists this ribosomal RNA (246 nucleotides) under uncultured bacterium. Its description in RNAcentral is "partial 16S ribosomal RNA". It matches the Rfam family "Bacterial small subunit ribosomal RNA", at positions 524 to 767 of the family's 1533-position model. The record is from RNAcentral.